UGACCUCGAAUCAUGUACAGAUACCCGCUGAACUUAAUCAUAUC
Molecule: ribosomal RNA, 44 nt
Filed under: Aspergillus niger
Lineage: Eukaryota; Fungi; Ascomycota; Eurotiomycetes; Eurotiales; Aspergillaceae
Description: partial 28S ribosomal RNA
Source: RNAcentral